CCCCAGGUAAGGUGGGGCUACCCACUGAGUUUAAGCAUAUAAAUAAGCGGAGGAGAAGAAACUUACGAGGAUUCCCUUAGUAACGGCGAAGCGAACCGGGAUCAGCCCAGCUUGAGAAUCGGGCAGCCGCGUCGUCUGAAUUGUAGUCUAGAGAAGCGUCCUCAGCGACGGACCGGGCCCAAGUCCCCUGGAAAGGGGCGCCGGGGAGGGUGAGAGCUCCGUCCGGCUCGGACCCUGUCACACCACGAGGCGUUGUCGACAAGUCGGGUUGUUUGGGAAUGUAGCCCCAAUCGGGCGGUAAAUUCCAUCCAAGGCUAAAUAUGGGCAAGAGACCGAUAGCGAACAAGUACCACGAGGGAAAGAUGAAAAGGACUUUGAAAAGAGAGUCAAAGAGUCCUUGAAAUUGCCGAGAGGGAAGCGGAUGGGGGCCGGCGAUGCACCUCGGUCGGAUGCGGAAUGGUGGUUAGCCGGUCCGUCGCUUAGCUCGGGGUGCAGAUCGAUGCGGGCUACAUCGACGGCCGAAGCCCGGACGGAUCGUUCGUUCGAGGGGAUACCGUCGAUGCAGUUGAGGAUAUGACGCGUGCCAUCGGCGUGCGUUCUCGCUGGGUACACGCGGCGACCUAGGCAUCGCCCGAAGGGCUCCCAUCCCAACCGCCUUGAAACACGGACCAAGGAGUCCGACAUGCAUGCGAAGUCGACGGGUGCAGAAACCCUAAGGCACAAGGAAGCUAACGGGUGGGAACCCUCUCGAGGGUUGCAUCGCCACCGACUCGAUCUUUUGUGAAGGGGUUCGAGUUGGAGCAUGCAUGUCGGGGACCCGAAAGAUGGUGAACUAUGCCCGAAGCGAGGCGGCGGCCGAGGAAACUCGGUGGAGGCCCGGCGAUCUUGACGCGGUAAAUCGUUUGUCUGACUUGGGUAUAGGGGCGAAAGACUAAUCGAACCAUCUAGUAGCUGGUUCCCUCCGAAGUUUCCCGCAGGAUAGCUGGAGCCCACGUGCGAGUUCUAUCAGGUAAAGCCAAUGAUUAGAGGCAUCGGGGGCGCAACACCCUCGACCUAUUCUCAAACUUUAAAUAUGUAGGACGGCGCGACUGCUUCGUUGAGCCGCGUCGCGGAAUCCAACUGUUUAAUUAAAACAAAGCAAUGUGAUUUCUGCAGCGUAAGAUGGGCAUUGCUAUGGUCCCCGCGGAUGCUCACGCAAUGUGAUUUCUGCCCAGUGCUCUAAAUGUCAAAGUGAAGAAAUUCAACCAAGUGCGGGUAAAUGGUGGGAGUAACUAUGACUCUCUUAAGGUAGCCAAAUGCCUCGUCAUCUAAUUAGUGAUGUGCAUGAAUGGAUUAAUGAGAUUCCCACUAUCCCUGUCUACUAUCCAGGGAAACCACAGCCAAGGGAACGAGCUUGGCAGAAUCAGUGGGGAAAGAAGACCAUGUUGAGCUUGACUCUAGUCCGACUUUGUGAAAUGACUUGAGAGGUGUAGGAUAAGUGGGAGCCGGUUCGCCGGCGAAAGUGAAAUACCACUACUUUUAACGUUAUAUUACUUAAUCCGUGAGUUGGAGGCUGGGCCCGGCCCCUCCUUUUGGACCCAAGGCCCGCCUAGCGGGCCGAUCCAGGCGGAAGACAUUAUCAGGUGGGGAGUUUGGCUGGGGCAGCACAUCUGUUAAAAGAUAACGCAGGUGUCCUAAGAUGAACUCAACGAGAAUAGAAAUCUCGUGUGGAACAAAAGGGUAAAAGCUCAUUUGAUUCUGAUUUCCAGUACGAAUACGAACCGUGAAAGAAUGGCCUAUCGAUCCUUUAAACCUUCUAUGAAGGAUAUGAAACAAGGCAAACGACGACAAGACACCACCGUGCACGAAGAAGUACAAAGCAAGGCAUUUUUGGCCACACAAGGAAGAAGAAGAUUUCAAGCGAAGCAAAAAUGGCCCAGAAACAGGCCAAAACUAGCCAUUUUUUUUCUCCGCGAGCGAAGCCGGCAAGUCGCGAUAGCGAAGCCGGCGAGAGGCAGCACCGGCCCCAACUAUACGAAAAGCCCCAUCCAGCCUUGUGCCACCCGGGAUUCCGUGGUGUUGAGAUGGUCGACGCUUUUGUUCCGGCUCCAUCGAUGGU
Molecule: ribosomal RNA, 2098 nt
Filed under: Musa schizocarpa
Lineage: Eukaryota; Viridiplantae; Streptophyta; Magnoliopsida; Zingiberales; Musaceae
Description: bacterial LSU rRNA
Rfam family: Eukaryotic large subunit ribosomal RNA
Source: RNAcentral